GGCCGCAGGGCUGGGGCUCCCCAAGGGCAGCCCUGGGGAUCACACAUCCUCCUCCUGCCAGGGCUGAGCAGGUCUCCAAGGGCAGCAUUUGGAGCUCACCCCGCAGAGCAAGGCUGGGAGGAGCACUGGAGAGCUCCCAGCUGGGGUCCCCAGGGGAAGGGGCUGUACCCAGGGGGAGGCAGUGGCAGGGAGCAAAGGGACCCAGGCUGAGCCAUGGGGAGGUGCAUUGCCCUUGGGAGGGCCACACAACCCCACAAAGCCCUUCCCAACCAAAGAUUCCCAUAAUUCCUCCUUUAGUUUUCUCUUUUAUCUGUUAUAAUAGUGUGGGUUUAUGACCCAUUUUUUUGUAUUCACUCAGUUCCUUGGGAAGUGAAAUGAAUAAUAGAUACAUUAUUUUUAAAACUGCAAAAGUAGUUAAAUGUUGAAAAGUCCUAAACCAGCCAGGGAUCUGGCACUUCAGGAAAGUCCAGGUUUAAGUCUGAAGCUAAAUUAUCUGCUGGGGUGAAAUCAGUCUCAGCUGGAAAUAGUUUUCCACACCUUUUGGCUUUGAGAAAAAAGUGAAGUCAGCUGUGAAUCAAACUUAUAGCCUUUGGUCCUCUGGAAUAAAUGCAGCUUUGAGUCACUCAUGAUGUGCUGCAAAUCCCACUUUAGUGUCUGCAUCCAGGACUGCUGUUAAAAAAGCAUCAGAGAUAAAUCCAGCUCUGCCUGCAGCUGCUGUGGCCAGUGCUCCAGAUAAUGAGACAAGAACUUUUCCUGAGCUCAGGUCAGUGUUUGGGAGUUUUCACCUGCUUGGGAUGGGAGCUGGAAGCUGGGCUCUGCCCCUGCCCAGUGCAGACUGGACUGGAGCAAGAGGGAUUACUCACAGGGCAAACAAUUCCAGUUCUGCAGCACAAGAGAGAGAAAAUGCAAGGACAAGCCACUCCCUGAACAAGGACCAGGCUGCCCUGGGGAGGCAGUGACACACAGGAAGGUGACAAAGCUCUUCUUGGCACCACAGUUCCCAAACUCGGAUGUCUCAAGCCCACAUCCAUGGGAAUUACUUGUGCUCCUCCCCAGACUCCACUGAACACAAUCAGCUCUCUGAAAACCUGGAAUUUGAAGCUCACAAACAAAUGUGCAGCAGUAAAAGUACAGGCUUUGUCCUUGCAUUUCCCACUUGGGAAGAACAUGAACUUGGCAAACAAAGUCCUGCUAAACAGAUAAGCACAACAGUGGUUCUGCAGCUUAUGACACAGAAAGCAUUGAUGGUGUUGAGGAUGAAAAGAUUUUGCACUGAAGUUUGACAGGUUUGUGAUUUUCCUGAUGCAGGGAAGAGUUAUCUGUGGAGUGGGGCACGGCGUGGGCCUGGGGCAGGUUGUGACGCCUGGUGCUGCCCUAUGUUCAUUCCUCUGCCAUGUGAGCUGUCAGAUAGUUGACCUUAAAAAUCCCAUAAUACUCCCUAAUGCUGCACUUUCCCUCCUCCUGCAUAUUUUCAGUGAGAUGUUACUAAUCCCAGGAAAGGAAAGGGCAAAAGCUUUGGGCCACUGACGAGCCAAACUCAGAGUGCUCAGAUAGGAAAACAAAUAGCAUCCAAAGCACUAAAUCUGGGCAGGAUUUGAGCUAAGAGCUGCUAAAAACCCUGUUAAAACUCAAGCCAGGAAGAAUAAACUCAGAACAGGCAAUUACACUUCACUCUUGGCUUGGUUGCACUGGCUGGUGGUUCAGAAUUGCCACAGAAUGAUUUACUGGGAGAUAAUGGAGCAUUGCACACCCCAGCUCCCACAGAGGCUCCACACCUUCAUCAAGAUGCCAGUAUUUAGUGCUAAGCUUUAUUAAGCAUGAAAGGAAAGGAAAAAAAAAAAGCCAAAUUUGAAUUUUUAAUGUCCUGAGUUAGUCCUUAAAAAAACAUUUAUAGACUAGAUGAUAGUGAUUCAACAGAGCAACCUUGGAAGGGAGACUAAAAUGAAUAUUGACUUUGCUUUCCCAGUCUGUGGUUUGUGGUAAAGGAAACAAUUUUUAAUUCUCCAUCUUUCACUACUGGCAAUUCUGAUUGUGAACUAAAGACAACAGCAAUAUUCCUCAUUAUUGUUAAUGCCUUUAUGAAAGGCUGAUUUGGAUUUGGAAUUGCUCUAAAGUCUACUAAAGUGAUUAAAGUGUUUAAAAAUUACUGACCUAGUUCAUUCAGAUAGCUGUAGGGUCUCCAGUCUGCAGUUUCUCUGUCAAGGAUUUUGUUACUGAGCUGUUCAAAAAGUAUGAUAAUGGGUUAAUGCUGGAAGAGACAGACAGUUCCCACCCCAGACUACAGCCCAAGGAUGUCAGGAAUAAAAAUGGGAGGUGACUCCUGCCUUGGCCUCACCAUCUCAGCCUUUAUCUGUGUGAGUUGGACAGCUGCUCACUGGCAUUAGGGAAAAUCACAAAGGAAAGUCACUUCACCAAGCCAUGAACACAAGCAUGCUGGAGAACACAGGAUUUCCUUUGGAACCACGAUGGGAUGCCUGUGGACGUGGGGUGACACGCUCCAAACUAACCAUGGAGAUGGAUGGAUCAAAGCCCUACACAGCAUGCACAGGGGGCUGCCUGGAGCCUGGGGGCUGCUGGCACUGACAGGAGAUGCAGGGGACACGAGUUCUCUCAGUUCAAGGAAAAUCACUUUGGCAAUGAUGGAGCACAAGGGCCCCUGUGGAUCUGCCAGCAGAGAGGAGAGUCCAGGGCUGCCCUGGAGGUGGGACAGCCCCUCCAGAGGGUGCAGUGAGAGGAGAGGGGUCUCUGCUUUGGGGUGCACGGCCCCACUGGGCUGGGACAGAGCAGAAGGGGCUCCACAGAUGAGUGGUCACCAGCUGAGCCCUGCAGGGGGGUCUGGGAAUAGCUGUAGGUGCUAAGACUGCUGAGCUUUCCUCCUCACAUUAUUCCCUUGAAAGCCACACCUGCAGGAAUACAGCUGGUCCAGAGGAAGGGUCAAUUCAAGAGCAAAUCCCAGCCUUGUUUCUGAAAAGAAACCAACACCUGGACUUUUGCUGCAAUGCUGGAAGGGAAUGAGGGUGGAAUUAUGAGCUUUGCAAAAGCUCAAGGUGAGAAUCCUCCAUUUGCUUGUGACCAGUGCAGCAGCCUCAUCCUUUACACAGAGCAUUCUACACAAACUUUGCAGUGCUUGGUAAAAGUGAGGUUUGUUUUUACUUCAUGCACAAUGCAAUAACUCAGUCACAAAGCUGGCAUUGAAGCCCUGGGAGGGGUUCUGUGAGUGGUGCUGCCAAACACCCUCUGAACAAAACAGGUCCUCAGCAGCUGAAAUCUGGUCUGUGGCUCAGCAAUGAGAGCUUUGAUGUGAAGACACAGGUAUGGAGGUAUGUAAUCGCCAUUUACCUGCUUUGAAAAUCUUUGGUAAUUCUGUGGCAAAAGGUGACCUGAGUUCAUGUCUGAUAGUCCUUGAUAACUUGCAGCAUCAUUACUAGCUGGUGCUGCACAUGUCAUGAGAAAAAAGGCCAGACCUACUUGCAGGAGCUCCUAAGCAAAGGUCAAGGUUUGGCUUCAGUUAAACUCACAGUAAAACAUCUCCUGGCUCCAGUGGUUCCAGCCUUCUCCCCAGCUGACUUGCCAAGCUCUCUCCUGUGGGAAGAGCAAUUACUUGUGGCAAAGUGCUGGGAGUUGAAAGCCUGCACUGAGAUGCUGGAGCCUCCUCCUGAGCCUCAGAGCUGCAGAUCCAUUCUCAGGGUCCUUGCACAGAGAUGAAGCUCAGCCCUACAAGCUCCUGCUGGCACCUGGCACAGGCUUGGGGACAGGACUGCAAGGGCUUGGAUGCCCCAGUCCUUGUGUCCAGCUGCCUUUUACUGCAAACACCCAGGCACACAAUCCCCCAGAGAGCUGAUCAAGCUCCAUUUCAGCAAUAAUCAGAUUUCUUUGUCCCAUUAGUCUUCCUGGGAAGCUAUUCCAAAAUCUCACUGAUCUGAUGGUAGAAAUCUAAUUUCCAGCUUCAAUGCAUUCAUGGCCAGUUCAUCCUCAUUUGUUCUCGAGCCAGCUCUGUCAUCUCACUUAAAUAGCUCUCCUCCCUCCUUGUGUUUACCUUGCUGUAUUUAUACAUGGCAAUCAUGCUCCCCCUCAGCAUUCAUUUUGCCAGACAAAAGCAGCCAAGCCUUUUCCAGUCUCUUCUGAUAGGCUCCCCUUAUCCUCCCACUUGUUUUCCUCCUGCCUGUGUUCAGUCUGUGCUCCACUGGCACAACCCCAGCCCCAAACACACUGGGGAGGGUUUGAUGCCUCCAGUGGUGCUUGUCUCUCAGCAGCUCCCAUGGCUCACCUUCAGGACCUGAGCAGUGGC
Molecule: long non-coding RNA, 4288 nt
Organism: Passer domesticus (house sparrow)
Lineage: Eukaryota; Metazoa; Chordata; Aves; Passeriformes; Passeridae
Exons: 3
Source: RefSeq, a predicted model, not a curated record